CCCUUAGAUGUUCUGGGCUGCACGCGUGUUACAAUCGGGAGUACAACAAGAUUGCAAAUCCUAGUGGAUGAGUGGUUCUUCGAAAUUUUCUGAAGACUGGGAUAGUUGAUUGAAAUUAUUCAACUCGAACGAGGAAUUCCUUGUAAUUGUAAUUCAUUAUAUUGUAAUGAAUACGUCCCUGCCCUUUGUACACACCGCCCGUCGCUCCUACCGAUUGAAUGAUCCGAUGAAUAUCAUGGAUUGAGGAUGCAAGUAGGUUAGCCUAUCUUCAUCUUCGAGAAGUGAAGUAAAUCUUAUCAUUUAGAGGAAGGAGAAGUCGUAACA
RNAcentral lists this ribosomal RNA (324 nucleotides) under uncultured eukaryote. RNAcentral describes it as "partial 18S ribosomal RNA". It matches the Rfam family "Eukaryotic small subunit ribosomal RNA", at positions 1470 to 1796 of the family's 1831-position model. The record is from RNAcentral.